CGAGCGGUAGAGAUCUUUCGGGAUCUUGAGAGCGGCGUACGGGUGCGGAACACGUGUGCAACCUGCCUUUAUCUGGGGGAUAGCCUUUCGAAAGGAAGAUUAAUACCCCAUAAUAUACUGAAUGGCAUCAUUCGGUAUUGAAAACUCCGGUGGAUAGAGAUGGGCACGCGCAAGAUUAGAUAGUUGGUGAGGUAACGGCUCACCAAGUCUGCGAUCUUUAGGGGGCCUGAGAGGGUGAUCCCCCACACUGGUACUGAGACACGGACCAGACUCCUACGGGAGGCAGCAGUGAGGAAUAUUGGACAAUGGGUGAGAGCCUGAUCCAGCCAUCCCGCGUGAAGGACGACGGCCCUAUGGGUUGUAAACUUCUUUUGUAUAGGGAUAAACCUACCCUCGUGAGGGUAGCUGAAGGUACUAUACGAAUAAGCACCGGCUAACUCCGUGCCAGCAGCCGCGGUAAUACGGAGGGUGCAAGCGUUAUCCGGAUUUAUUGGGUUUAAAGGGUCCGUAGGCGGAUCUGUAAGUCAGUGGUGAAAUCUCACAGCUUAACUGUGAAACUGCCAUUGAUACUGCAGGUCUUGAGUGUUGUUGAAGUAGCUGGAAUAAGUAGUGUAGCGGUGAAAUGCAUAGAUAUUACUUAGAACACCAAUUGCGAAGGCAGGUUACUAAGCAACAACUGACGCUGAUGGACGAAAGCGUGGGGAGCGAACAGGAUUAGAUACCCUGGUAGUCCACGCCGUAACGAUGCUAACUCGUUUUUGGAAUGUAAGUUUCAGAGACUAAGCGAAAGUGAUAAGUUAGCCACCUGGGGAGUACGAACGCAAGUUUGAAACUCAAAGGAAUUGACGGGGGCCCGCACAAGCGGUGGAUUAUGUGGUUUAAUUCGAUGAUACGCGAGGAACCUUACCAAGGCUUAAAUGGGAAAUGACAGGUUUAGAAAUAGACUUUUCUUCGGACAUUUUUCAAGGUGCUGUAUGGUUGUUUCAGCUCGUGCCGUGAGGUGUUAGGUUAAGUCGUGCAACGAGCGCAACCCCUCUCUCUAGUUGCCAUCAUUAAGUUGGGGACUCUAGUGAGACGGCAUACGCAAGUAGAGAGGAAGGUGGGGAUGAUGUCAAAUCAUCACGGCCCUUACGCCUUGGGCCACACACGUAAUACAAUGGCCGGUACAGAGGGCAGCUACACUGCGAACAGAUGCAAAUCUCGAAAGCCGGUCUCAGUUCCGAUUGGAGUCUGCAACUCGACUCUAUGAAGCUGGAAUCGAUAGUAAUCGCGCAUCAGCCAUGGCGCGGUGAAUACGUUCCCGGGCCUUGUACACACCGCCCGCCAAGCCAUGGAAGUACCGGGUACCUG
This 1350-nucleotide ribosomal RNA is filed under the name bacterium S510. RNAcentral describes it as "bacterial SSU rRNA". It matches the Rfam family "Bacterial small subunit ribosomal RNA", at positions 63 to 1423 of the family's 1533-position model. The record is from RNAcentral.